CAAUAGCGUAUAUUAAAGUUGUUGCAGUUAAAAAGCUCGUAGUUGGAUUUCUGGUGGGAGCGAUCGGUCUGGCGCUUAGCGCGAGUACUUGCAUCGUCUCCGGCCAUCCUUGGGGAGAGUCUGUCUGGCAUUAGGUUGUCGGGCAGAGGAUCCUCAUCGUUUACUGUGAAAAAAUUAGAGUGUUCAAAGCAGGCUUAUGCCGUUGAAUAUAUUAGCAUGGAAUAAUAAGAUAGGACUUUGGUACUAUUUUGUUGGUUUGCGCACCAAAGUAAUGAUUAAUAGGGACAGUUGGGGGUAUUCGUAUUCCGUUGUCAGAGGUGAAAUUCUUGGAUUUACGGAAGACGAACUACUGCGAAAGCAUUUACCAAGGAUGUUUUCAUUNA
Molecule: ribosomal RNA, 383 nt
Filed under: uncultured eukaryote
Lineage: Eukaryota
Description: partial 18S ribosomal RNA
Rfam family: Eukaryotic small subunit ribosomal RNA
Source: RNAcentral